GCAUUGGUUGUUCAGUGGUAGAAUUCUUGCCUUCCAUGCAGGAGACCUGGGUUCUAUUUCCGGCCAAUGCA
RNAcentral lists this transfer RNA (71 nucleotides) under Loxodonta africana (African savanna elephant). It matches the Rfam family "tRNA". Rfam says of the family: Transfer RNA (tRNA) molecules are approximately 80 nucleotides in length. Their secondary structure includes four short double-helical elements and three loops (D, anti-codon, and T loops). Further hydrogen bonds mediate the characteristic L-shaped molecular structure. tRNAs have two regions of fundamental functional importance: the anti-codon, which is responsible for specific mRNA codon recognition, and the 3' end, to which the tRNAs corresponding amino acid is attached (by aminoacyl-tRNA synthetases). tRNAs cope with the degeneracy of the genetic code in two manners: having more than one tRNA (with a specific anti-codon) for a particular amino acid; and 'wobble' base-pairing, i.e. permitting non-standard base-pairing at the 3rd anti-codon position. The record is from Rfam by way of RNAcentral. Lineage: Eukaryota; Metazoa; Chordata; Mammalia; Proboscidea; Elephantidae.